Long non-coding RNA from Solenopsis invicta (red fire ant), 736 nucleotides. RefSeq lists it as uncharacterized. The record is from RefSeq and is a predicted model, not a curated record. The transcript is spliced from 3 exons. NCBI's taxonomy places the organism in Eukaryota, Metazoa, Arthropoda, Insecta, Hymenoptera, Formicidae.
GGGAGGAUGCCGUCGAGGAGCCGCCCGCGUUUAUUUAUAGGUUUUUACAAUAACGUAAGUUGAUGAAGCGCCAGGCGACGGACGACGCGGGCUGCUGUGAAUUGUCGCCGCGCGCAUAUAUGUUACGAACCACGUGCGCGACGUGUAAAUCUUACGCCGGCUGUUGCACAGCGAAAUGGAGCCGCGGAAAUAGAAGAAAAAUGGACGAGAGGAUCGUCGUCUAAGAGACUCGGACCUGGAUUUCGCCUGGAGAUCGCGAUCGACGAGACGCAAGAAAAAACAUUGAGACCUGAUGACCCAAAAAGGAUUCGAACAGAAAGAGAGGGAAGUAAAGGAAAAGUGUAGAGAAAGGCUGUAUUUACCAAGGUUCGCUGUCAGCGUUUUUGUGUGCAAAUGAACUUUGUAUUUUACAAAAAAUUGUGUUUGUAGUAGCAAUUAUGUGUAUGUAUACAAUAUAUUUUUUCGGCUAAGUAUUUCGACGGGAUGUGAACUUUGAUUCAUUAUAUGUAUACAAUGGUUAUACGCAAGCGGGGAUACAUAAAAUGAAAUAAAUAUAUAAACGUCAAAAUUUUAACUGCGAAAUGCAUGAAAUAUUCAAUUUGGAUUAGAAUAAAGUUAUCAGAGUUAAUUUAAUAAUUUUUUUUAACUGGAUAACGUUAAUUUGGUUAUGUUAAAAGUUGCGUUAAAAUUAAAUUAACUUAAAAGUUAAUUUUAAAAAGCAUUAUAUAUUUACAUU